Long non-coding RNA from Fukomys damarensis (Damara mole-rat), 1998 nucleotides. RefSeq lists it as uncharacterized. The transcript has 3 exons. NCBI's taxonomy places the organism in Eukaryota, Metazoa, Chordata, Mammalia, Rodentia, Bathyergidae. The record is from RefSeq and is a predicted model, not a curated record.
GGAGGAGAGAGGACUGGGGAAAAAAGAAGAAUCAAGUGCUUCAGAGAAGAUUUGGGAAUUUAAGGAGACUUCAUGAAAAGAAGAAAGAUGAACACCAUUUAUUUAUUCUCCUGUAUUUUCAGAGGGACAGACAAUGAGGAUGCUGCAAAUAUUGAAUUCACAGCAACAAGGAAAGCAGAGAGCUUCACUGUAUUAAGAUGGCUUGGAUAUGCCAUAGCUGGCUUUGAAAAUCAAGGAAUGAAAGAAAAUUCCAAGAGGGAAGAACAUACCCUAGAUGAUGGUAAUAAAGAUAAAAGAGUAUUGGUUCUACACUGCAGGGGUCACAAUUUGGCCAACCUGUUGAACGCGCUCAAAACUUGAUUCUUUAUAAGGUCUCAGAUAAGUCUGACAAACAACCUCGGCCUUGUGAAACUCUUCAGAGAGAACAUAAUUAAUCCCACCUGGGCUUCUGACCUACAGAAAUGUAGGUUGAUAAAUGCGCAUUAUUUUACUAAGUCUUUCGUAAUAUAUUAGACAGAGUUAGGAAAAUAAGAAAUGAUAUAAGACCUUUGCUUCUAAACUCUGAUCUUUGUGGUGCAAAUGUCAGUUCACAUGGAUUUAUAUAUGAAAUAUAUAAGUAUAUUUCUUAUGCAUGUCACUAUAUGUAAUUUUACUUUGGGCCUUUUUGAUUAAUAUUUGUAAAUAUCAAAGAAAAAAAAAUAGCACAUUUUACCAGCUAGCAAGCUCCUGUGAGUCAGUAGUGACACUGUUGGCAAAGCCACCCAAGCUCCAAAGACAUAUAAAUCCCAUCCCUACUCCUAGAGAGAGACAGAGAGAGAGAGAGGGAGAGAGAGAGGUUAGACAAUCUUAAAUAAAAGACUUUAAUUAUCUUUUAAAGUGCCAUCUGGACUUUAUAGAAUGAAUGGUCCUUUAAUUGUCUGAGUUUCCCCUUUCUUUCUGUAAGCCCCCCAGUACCGUCAAAGUAGCCAUAUCACGUUAUAGUCAGCACUAACAUUGCUUCAGUUCUCGCUGGCUUCUUUCCUAAGAAGUACCCAUGAAAUCAGAAUCCCCCAACCACCAUCAGCAAAAUCACAAUACUACCAUUUCCCCAGAAAAGAAAAUCUUCCAAUUUAAAAAUUUUACUCUGAGAAUUUUUCUACUGGUCACACUGAAAUUAAAUUUUUCAUGUGAUUCUAAAACAAAGCUAAAUGCGCUGAUUUCUGUUCAGAUUGCACAGAUCUUUUGCCUUUUGCUAAAACAAAGCUAAUGCAUUAAUAUUUAAUAGAUGGUUCAGUCCAAGGAAACCAAGAGUGUAGGGACAAAUAAAUUUUGAUCUGGUGAAAAGGAAGGGAAUUUCAAAUUGGCUGCAGUGUGAAAGAAAAUCUCAAAAAUAACAAAAAAUGUCAUAUUUUUUCUUCACUCAUUGCUCCAGUAGAACAAAUUUAAAGUUCUUCUUUUUUUCUCUCUCUUAAAUCAACCAACUAGAAAGGAAGAUGUUAAAUAACAGUGCUGGGGCAAAGAACUUCAAGGAAAGGGCAGUUUUGAUAUUUGACGAGGGCACAAGUUUUGGUUCUUAUGCAAGUCUGCACUCUCUCAGUGAAAACAAUAAGGGAUAACUCUGGGGUCUCUUUCAUGAUGGUGCAAAUCCCAUUCAUUGGCCUGCAUCCUCAAGACCUAAUACCUUCCCAGAAGUCACAUUUCAUAAUGUCAUCACUUUGGGUGCUAGAUACAUUUGGAGCGAACAUAAACAGACACAGUUGCAUUUCUGUUUCUUUAGUUUCAAAAGGGCAAAAAAACUCUGCUCCCCAAAAUGCUCCAUCUAUUUCAAUACAAACAAGAAAUGUCUAUUCUCACACAGAAACAAUGUAACUCAGUGACACCGCUUCUGCCUGGCAAGCGCAAGGUACUGAGUACGAUCCCUGGUACAAAGAAAUACUGAAAAACAUUUUUUUUUCAGUAUUUUAUUGUUCAUAGAAGCUUGCAGAUGUGCACUGAAGGCCCAAAGUAUUUAAAAGUACA